RNAcentral lists this ribosomal RNA (368 nucleotides) under uncultured organism. Its description in RNAcentral is "bacterial SSU rRNA". It matches the Rfam family "Bacterial small subunit ribosomal RNA", at positions 526 to 896 of the family's 1533-position model. The record is from RNAcentral.
CGUAGGUGGCAAGCGUUGUCCGGAUUUAUUGGGUUUAAAGGGUGCGUAGGCGGCUUGAUAAGUCAGUGGUGAAAGCCGAUCGCUUAACGAUCGAACUGCCAUUGAUACUGUCGGGCUUGAGUAUAGAUGAGGUAGGCGGAAUUGACAGUGUAGCGGUGAAAUGCAUAGAUAUUGUCAAGAACACCAAUUGCGAAGGCAGCUUACUAAGUUAUAACUGACGCUGAGGCACGAAAGUGCGGGGAUCAAACAGGAUUAGAUACCCUGGUAGUCCGCACCGUAAACGAUGAUCACUCGCUGUGUGCGAUAAACAGUACGCGGCCAAGCGAAAGCGAUAAGUGAUCCACCUGGGGAGUACGCCCGCAAGGGUG